CACAACCCCUUGGUUUGACCGAGAUAACCCCUCAGGAAAUGGAGAUUAUGAGACCCUCACCGAUCUACGAAACGAAUACCCUAACGAGAUCUGCGAUGAACCCUACGCAAUCCACGUCCAGACUGUGGAUGGGAUCCCUGCCUCACAGACUGGGCAAAUAUUCGGAGAGUUCGAUCCCCUCAAAGGGUUUGCUUGCGUUAACGAACAGCAGACCCCCAGCAACGAACCGUGUCGUGACUACAAGGUUCAAUUCACCUGUCCAAAGACAUUCUGUUGAGGCCCUAUCAAGAUCCAGUCAACAUUUACUCACCAGGAGGUGAGUAAAUCAUCUCCAUGAAGCUCAAGCAUCUAGCUGGUUGCCAUCUAUGUUUCUCCCUCUUUUACAUAUUUUCCCCGAGUGGCUAC
Pogona vitticeps (central bearded dragon) is the source of this 405-nucleotide non-coding RNA. NCBI's taxonomy places the organism in Eukaryota, Metazoa, Chordata, Lepidosauria, Squamata, Agamidae. The record is from RefSeq and is a predicted model, not a curated record.